GAUGAACGCUAGCGGCAGGCCUAACACAUGCAAGUCGAGGGAGGAGCUUUCGGGCUUCGACCGGCGUACGGGUGCGUAACGCGUAUACAAUCUGCCUUUCACAUAGGGAUAGCCCGAAGAAAUUUGUAUUAAUACCUAAUGGUAUAUAGAGGUGGCAUCACCUUUAUAUUAAAGCUGAGGCGGUGAAAGAUGAGUAUGCGUUCUAUUAGCUAGUUGGAGAGGUAACGGCUCCCCAAGGCGACGAUAGAUAGGGGUUCUGAGAGGGAUAUCCCCCACACUGGUACUGAGAUACGGACCAGACUCCUACGGGAGGAAGCAGUGAGGAAUAUUGGACAAUGGUCGGAAGACUGAUCCAGCCAUGCCGCGUGCAGGAAGACGGCCUUAUGGGUUGUAAACUGCUUUUGCAGGGGAAGAAUAAGGACUACGCGUAGUUUGAUGACGGUACUCUGCGAAUAAGCAUCGGCUAACUCCGUG
Molecule: ribosomal RNA, 474 nt
Filed under: uncultured bacterium
Lineage: Bacteria
Description: partial 16S ribosomal RNA
Rfam family: Bacterial small subunit ribosomal RNA
Source: RNAcentral